Molecule: ribosomal RNA, 397 nt
Filed under: uncultured bacterium
Lineage: Bacteria
Description: bacterial SSU rRNA
Rfam family: Bacterial small subunit ribosomal RNA
Source: RNAcentral
UAUUGGGCAAUGGGCGCAAGCCUGACCCAGCAACGCCGCGUGAAGGAAGAAGGCCCUCGGGUUGUAAACUUCUUUUAUCAAGGACGAAANAAAUGACGGUACUUGAUGAAUAAGCCACGGCUAACUACGUGCCAGAAGCCGCGGUAAUACGUAGGUGGCAAGCGUUAUCCGGAUUUACUGGGUGUAAAGGGCGUGUAGGCGGGACUGCAAGUCAGAUGUGAAAACCAUGGGCUCAACCCAUGGCCUGCAUUUGAAACUGUAGUUCUUGAGUGUUGGAGAGGCAGGCGGAAUUCCGUGUGUAGCGGUGAAAUGCGUAGAUAUACGGAGGAACACCAGUGGCGAAGGCGGCCUGCUGGACAAUAACUGACGCUGAUGCUCGAAAGUGUGGGUAUCAAAC